GACGAACGCUGGCGGCGUGCCUAAUACAUGCAAGUUGAGCGCUGAAGGUUGGUACUUGUACCAACUGGAUGAGCAGCGAACGGGUGAGUAACGCGUGGGGAAUCUGCCUUUGAGCGGGGGACAACAUUUGGAAACAAAUGCUAAUACCGCAUAAAAACUUUAAACACAAGUUUUAAGUUUGAAAGAUGCAAUUGCAUCACUCAAAGAUGAUCCCGCGUUGUAUUAGCUAGUUGGUGAGGUAAAGGCUCACCAAGGCGAUGAUACAUAGCCGACCUGAGAGGGUGAUCGGCCACAUUGGGACUGAGACACGGCCCAAACUCCUACGGGAGGCAGCAGUAGGGAAUCUUCGGCAAUGGACGAAAGUCUGACCGAGCAACGCCGCGUGAGGGAAGAAGGUUUUCGGAUCGUAAAACUCUGUUGGUAGAGAAGAACGUUGGUGAGAGUGGAAAGCUCAUCAAGUGACGGUAACUACCCAGAAAGGGACGGCUAACUACGUG
This 497-nucleotide ribosomal RNA is filed under the name uncultured bacterium. Its description in RNAcentral is "partial 16S ribosomal RNA". It matches the Rfam family "Bacterial small subunit ribosomal RNA", at positions 28 to 507 of the family's 1533-position model. The record is from RNAcentral.